RNAcentral lists this small nuclear RNA (101 nucleotides) under Mesocricetus auratus (golden hamster). The record is from RNAcentral. Lineage: Eukaryota; Metazoa; Chordata; Mammalia; Rodentia; Cricetidae.
CUGGGUGUUGCUUCAGCGGCACACAAACAGGAACGAUACCAAGGUUAGCAUGGCCCCUAUGUGAGGAUGACACACACGUGUGUGACGCUUUCCAUAUUAAA